Long non-coding RNA from Pyrus x bretschneideri (Chinese white pear), 586 nucleotides. RefSeq lists it as uncharacterized. The record is from RefSeq and is a predicted model, not a curated record. NCBI's taxonomy places the organism in Eukaryota, Viridiplantae, Streptophyta, Magnoliopsida, Rosales, Rosaceae. The transcript is spliced from 2 exons.
UGUGUGCACGCUUCUAUGAUUGCUUCUGCUAGCACGGCAAACAAGUCCAAUACUUCAAAGUCAAGCAACCACCGUCCCUCAUUCUGAACUCACUCUCACUCUCACUCUCACCCUCACCCUACACCACCAAAGGAACCUCCCUCUGCAAUUCCAUAUAGCAACCACGGCCGCGGCCACUUCUUCUUCAAACUUCAACUGCAAAAGUUACCAAGAAGUUAAUCAAAUUUACUUAUGGCACCCAUCACCAGCCUCGUCUGCUUCGUUCUCACUCACUUUGGUUUUCUCUGGACACCCACAUUUUUUCAAAAUUUCAGGUAUGAAAUCCCCAUUGAGCUUGAGCGAGGUACAUUCCGAAGUUACAGGAUAUCUACAAGAAUGCCCACAAAAAAUGAAGAAGGAACUACCUAUUGAUAAGAUCCCAAACAGACGUGUCUCUAUUUUUACACCUAGGUGGGAGAUAUCUGUCGGAGUAAAAAUUACCGAUCUAAGCCAACUGAUUCUCAAAGAGUGGAAAAAGAAGAAGCAUGAGCAAUAUGUAUUCUAAAUUCUUUAUUAAAUUUGUUACAAUAAAUUUUAACAUUAUAUA